GAUGAACGCUGGCGGCGUGCCUAAUACAUGCAAGUCGAGCGAACGGACGAGAAGCUUGCUUUUCUGAUGUUAGCGGCGGACGGGUGAGUAACACGUGGAUAACCUACCUAUAAGACUGGGAUAACUUCGGGAAACCGGAGCUAAUACCGGAUAAUAUUUUGAACCGCAUGGUUCAAAAGUGAAAGACGGUGUUGCUGUCACUUAUAGAUGGAUCCGCGCUGCAUUAGCUAGUUGGUAAGGUAACGGCUUACCAAGGCAACGAUGCGUAGCCGACCUGAGAGGGUGAUCGGCCACACUGGAACGUAGACGCGGUCCAGACUACUACGGGAGGGAGCAGUAGGGAAUCUUACGCAAUGGGCGGAAGCCUGACGGAGCAACGCCGCGUGAGAGAUGAAGGUCUCCGGAUCGUAAUACUCUGUUAUGAGGGAAGAACAUAUGUGUAAGUAACUGAGCACAGCUUGACGGUACCUAAUCAGAAAGCCACGGCUAACUACGUG
RNAcentral lists this ribosomal RNA (497 nucleotides) under uncultured bacterium. RNAcentral's name for it is "partial 16S ribosomal RNA". It matches the Rfam family "Bacterial small subunit ribosomal RNA", at positions 28 to 507 of the family's 1533-position model. The record is from RNAcentral.